Molecule: ribosomal RNA, 253 nt
Filed under: uncultured bacterium
Lineage: Bacteria
Description: partial 16S ribosomal RNA
Rfam family: Bacterial small subunit ribosomal RNA
Source: RNAcentral
UACGGAGGGAGCAAGCGUUACUCGGAAUUAUUGGGCGUAAAGGGCGCGUAGGCGAUUUGACAAGUCAACUGUGAAAGCCCAGAGCUUAACUCUGGAAGUGCAGCUGAGACUGUUGAAUUUGAGUAUAGGAGAGGAAGGCAGAAUUCCCGGUGUAGCGGUGAAAUGCGUAGAUAUCGGGAGGAAUACCAGUGGCGAAGGCGGCCUUCUGGACUAUAACUGACGCUGAGGCGCGAAAGCUAGGGGAGCGAACGGG